Molecule: transfer RNA, 68 nt
Filed under: marine eukaryotic metagenome
Rfam family: tRNA
About the family: Transfer RNA (tRNA) molecules are approximately 80 nucleotides in length. Their secondary structure includes four short double-helical elements and three loops (D, anti-codon, and T loops). Further hydrogen bonds mediate the characteristic L-shaped molecular structure. tRNAs have two regions of fundamental functional importance: the anti-codon, which is responsible for specific mRNA codon recognition, and the 3' end, to which the tRNAs corresponding amino acid is attached (by aminoacyl-tRNA synthetases). tRNAs cope with the degeneracy of the genetic code in two manners: having more than one tRNA (with a specific anti-codon) for a particular amino acid; and 'wobble' base-pairing, i.e. permitting non-standard base-pairing at the 3rd anti-codon position.
Source: RNAcentral
CGGUAUAGCUCAGUUGGUAGAGCAACUGAUUUGUAAUCAGUAGGUCCCGAGUUCGACUCUUGGUGCCG